UCAGAUGGCUGGAUGGCCGCCUUUCAUGCAAAUGGGGGGAGGAAAGUCCGGGCUCCAUAAGAUUAUGGUGCUGGCUAACGGCCAGCGGGGGCGACCCUAGGGAAAGUGCAACAGAAAGAUACCGCCAAUUCGCUUCUAAGACGGGGGGAUUGGUAAGGGUGAAAUGGUGCGGUAAGAGCGCACCGCGCUUUUAGUAAUAAAAGUGGCAUGGCAAACCCCACCAGGAGCAAGACCAAAUAGGGAUGGUUGGCUGAUCUUACCAUUAACCAUCCGGGUAGGUUGCGCGAAGUGCGGAGUAAUCCGUACUCCAGAUGAAUGGCCGUCUUAACACAGUUAAAUGUGCGAUGACAAAACCCGGCUUACAGGCC
This 368-nucleotide RNase P RNA is filed under the name Alphaproteobacteria bacterium. RNAcentral's name for it is "partial RNase P RNA component class A". It matches the Rfam family "Bacterial RNase P class A". From Rfam's summary of the family: Ribonuclease P (RNase P) is a ubiquitous endoribonuclease, found in archaea, bacteria and eukarya as well as chloroplasts and mitochondria. Its best characterised activity is the generation of mature 5'-ends of tRNAs by cleaving the 5'-leader elements of precursor-tRNAs. The record is from RNAcentral. Lineage: Bacteria; Pseudomonadati; Pseudomonadota; Alphaproteobacteria.